This 1391-nucleotide long non-coding RNA is filed under the name Homo sapiens (human). Its description in RNAcentral is "HSALNT0114422". Lineage: Eukaryota; Metazoa; Chordata; Mammalia; Primates; Hominidae. The record is from RNAcentral.
GGGCAAUGGCGGGCGCCCCUCCCCAGCCUCACUGCCGCCUUGCAGUUUGAUCUCAGACUGCUGUGCUAGCAAUCAGCGAGACUCCGUGGGUGUAGGACCCUCGGAGCCAGGUGCCGGAUAUAAUCUCGUGGUGCGCCGUUUUUUAAGCCCGUCGGAAAAGCGCAGUAUUCGGGUGGGAGUGACUCGAUUUUCCAGGUGCCGUCCAUCACCCCUUUCUUUGACUGGGAAAGGGAACUCCCUGACCCCUUGCGUUUCCCAAGUGAGGCAAUGCCUGGCCCUGCUUCGGCUCGUGCACGGUGCAUGCACCCACUGUCCUGCGCCCACUGUCUGGCACUCCCUAGUGAGAUGAACCCGGUACCUCAGAUGGAAAUGCAGAAAUCACCCGUCUUCUGCGUCGCUCACGCUGGGAGCUGUAGACCGGAGCUGUUCCUAUUCCGCCAUCUUGGCUCCUCCCUCCAGAAAGCACAUCAUUAAAAUAUCAACUUUGGCAGAGACGUGGAGCAAGAUGACUGCAUAGAAGUUUCUACUGAUCAUUUCCCACCGCUUCCACGGGAACACCAAGUUUGAUAUCCACACAAAGGGAGCACCUUCAAAGGAAGCAAAAAUCAGAUACAUUCCCAUUGAGGCACGAAAAUGGAUCUAGCCACAGCUCUGAUGAUAUUGCUUUGCCUUUAACAGUACCUCCCAUUAGUCUCUUGCACCAAGAUGCACAUUUUUCAGUUUACAUAGUGGAUUUCAUCAUUCUACUAGAAAGCCUCCACUUUGUUUCUGAUUCAGUUUCAGUUUCCAAACCAGGUGCUUUGUCCCUCACUGACUGUUUUGGAUGACCUCUAGUUUUUCCCCAAGGUUCUAAAUUUAGUUUGGCUUUUAUUUGGCCAUCAUUUUAAUUCCCACUUUUUGUUUUGGUGCUGUUGAUUGUACAAUCCAACCAUCUCUACCUUUCAAUAUUUGCAGGUUUCUUUUUUCCUGUUUGUCUUGAACAUUCUGAUUUUUCCUAACCUUUGAGUCACCUGCCUCUGUUUUACCAUGUCAUUGAAUUAUGGUUUAGUCAAGUGGAAAGACAAGCUCCUGUCACUGCCUAUAGCACUGCCUAGUUUCCUUCCAAUUAUCAAUAAAAUUCUUUGUUAUUAGGUUUCUUCUGUUCCACUAUAAGCUCAAGUAAUUCACAACAAUAAAACAAGACAAAAAUAAUUAACAUUCACGAGAAUAAAGAGCAGCCAUUAAAUCAUGAAGUUAUCAGGGUGGAAGCAGCUCUAAUGGCUUCCAUUUAGCCUUUCUCACCAUAAUAGCCCUUACUCUACAAGUCAUGGAGCCAAUGUGGGGGUUCAGUCAGCUGCUGAGCAUGUCUAUGCACUGGGGAAAUGACCACAGGAGGAGUCCAGGGACCCACU